GGGGCAGCACGGUCUUAGCUUGCUAAGGCCGAUGGCGACCGGCGCACGGGUGAGUAACACGUAUCCAACCUGCCGUCUACUCUUGGACAGCCUUCUGAAAGGAAGAUUAAUACAAGAUGGCAUCAUGAGUCCGCAUGUUCACAUGAUUAAAGGUAUUCCGGUAGACGAUGGGGAUGCGUUCCAUUAGAUAGUUGGCGGGGUAACGGCCCACCAAGACUACGAUGGAUAGGGGUUCUGAGAGGAAGGUCCCCCACAUUGGAACUGAGACACGGUCCAAACUCCUACGGGAGGCAGCAGUGAGGAAUAUUGGUCAAUGGGCGAGAGCCUGAACCAGCCAAGUAGCGUGAAGGAUGAAGGCUCUAUGGGUCGUAAACUUCUUUUAUAUGGGAAUAAAGUAUUCCACGUGUGGAAUUUUGUAUGUACCAUAUGAAUAAGGAUCGGCUAACUCCGUGCCAGCAGCCGCGGUAAUACGGAGGAUCCGAGCGUUAUCCGGAUUUAUUGGGUUUAAAGGGAGCGUAGGUGGAUUGUUAAGUCAGUUGUGAAAGUCUGCGGCUCAACCGUAAAAUUGCAGUUGAAACUGGCAGUCUUGAGUACAGUAGAGGUGGGCGGAAUUCGUGGUGUAGCGGUGAAAUGCUUAGAUAUCACGA
RNAcentral lists this ribosomal RNA (647 nucleotides) under uncultured Bacteroidales bacterium. Its description in RNAcentral is "bacterial SSU rRNA". It matches the Rfam family "Bacterial small subunit ribosomal RNA", at positions 66 to 702 of the family's 1533-position model. Lineage: Bacteria; Pseudomonadati; Bacteroidota; Bacteroidia; Bacteroidales. The record is from RNAcentral.